This 220-nucleotide ribosomal RNA is filed under the name uncultured bacterium. Its description in RNAcentral is "partial 16S ribosomal RNA". It matches the Rfam family "Bacterial small subunit ribosomal RNA", at positions 1285 to 1504 of the family's 1533-position model. The record is from RNAcentral.
AUCUUAGUCCGGAUUGCAGUCUGCAACUCGACUGCAUGAAGUCGGAAUCGCUAGUAAUCGCGGAUCAGAAUGCCGCGGUGAAUACGUUCCCGGGCCUUGUACACACCGCCCGUCACACCAUGGGAGUUUACUGCACCAGAAGUAGUUAGCCUAACCGCAAGGAGGGCGAUUACCACGGUGUGGUCGAUGACUGGGGUGAAGUCGUAACAAGGGAGCCGUA